CCUACGGGAGGCAGCAGUGGGGAAUAUUGCGCAAUGGGCGAAAGCCUGACGCAGCGACGCCGCGUGAGGGAUGAAGGUCUUCGGAUCGUAAACCUCUGUCAGCAGGGAAGAACGGUCACUGUGCUAAUCAGCAAUGAAUUGACGGUACCUGCAAAGGAAGCACCGGCUAACUCCGUGCCAGCAGCCUCGGUAAUACGGAGGGUGCGAGCGUUAAUCGGAAUUACUGGGCGUAAAGCGCUCGUAGGCGGUAUGUCAAGUCAAGGGGUAAAUCCACGCGCUCAACGUGGGUACUGCCUUUGAAACUGGCAAACUGGAGUGUGUGAGAGGAUAGUGGAAUGCCAGGUGUAGGAGUGAAAUCCGUAGAUAUCUGGAGGAACAUCAGUGGCGAAGGCGACUAUCUGGCACAUAACUGACGCUGAGGAGCGAAAGCGUGGGUAGCAAACAGGAUUAGAUACCCGAGUAGUC
Molecule: ribosomal RNA, 465 nt
Filed under: uncultured bacterium
Lineage: Bacteria
Description: partial 16S ribosomal RNA
Rfam family: Bacterial small subunit ribosomal RNA
Source: RNAcentral